CGAUUAGCUCAGUUGGUAGAGCAGCUGACUCUUAAUCAGCGGGUCGCAGGUUCGACCCCUGCAUCGUC
Molecule: transfer RNA, 68 nt
Filed under: Hallerella succinigenes
Lineage: Bacteria; Pseudomonadati; Fibrobacterota; Fibrobacteria; Fibrobacterales; Fibrobacteraceae
Rfam family: tRNA
About the family: Transfer RNA (tRNA) molecules are approximately 80 nucleotides in length.
Source: RNAcentral